AUUGAUUGCUGAAAGAGCAACAGUUGAACAGCUUCCUUCUUAACACCAAGUUGAACACUGAGGUUAUGGAUCACAUUUGUCUGCUUUGGCAUGGACCAACACUGAGGGCUCAACCUCAUCUCCAGUCAACACAAGCUUCUCUCUUCAUCCAAACACAAGCCCAAAAAAGUGAUGUGGUGCAGCAUCCUGUGGCUUUGCUAAUCAGGAGACACACACACAAAAAAAGGUUCUUCAACAAAGCAGCAUCUUUUGACACCUUGCUAGUUUAUCAUCUUCAUCCUCGUAAGUGUUGGCUCCCUGGCCGUUCCCAUGGUGACAUGCCUAUCAACGACAGGCAUGUGCAAACAGAGCGGCCUGAGCUAACAGUUUAGACUGUGCCUGCCUGCCGGUAUGCAAGCUUCCCUGAGCCCAUAUGCUGGCCGUCGGUUUAAAAAAAAAAGGAAAAGCAACUCAAGCCAGUGUCAGCUCAGACAAAGGGAACACCGGCAAGUCUCUAUUUGAGUUGGCACUUUUUCAUGCACUAGUCUUGAGGAAUAUCUCUAAAGCAUAGGAGGGGGAGGGAGGGGGAGCUGGCAGGGAUGUGGGACGGGUAACAGCCCAGACAAAACGCGUGGGUUCAACUCUGCUCGUCCCCAGGAGACACAGCAAAACAUCAAGGCAAGCCAUGAAAUCUUCCAAACAACAGCAGCAGCAAAGGCCCAGGCUUCCCACGGUGAUUUACUGUAAAACACCGAGAAGAGACACCGGCCAGCAGAGGGGCAACAAUGAAUGACAAAGCCACAGAAUCUGUUUGCUGCUAGAGCCCGGCCGUAGAUCUGAGGAGAGGCCUCCACGUCAAGAGAGUAAACCCGGAAUGCCACUGGUGUGGAAUAUAUAUAUGCAGCUGAAAGAGAGAGCCAAAUAAAAACAAGCCCACAGCUGGUGCUUAUAUCA
This is a long non-coding RNA of Oryzias melastigma (Indian medaka), 933 nucleotides long. RefSeq lists it as uncharacterized. Lineage: Eukaryota; Metazoa; Chordata; Actinopteri; Beloniformes; Adrianichthyidae. The record is from RefSeq and is a predicted model, not a curated record. The transcript is spliced from 2 exons.